Molecule: non-coding RNA, 1379 nt
Organism: Onychostoma macrolepis
Lineage: Eukaryota; Metazoa; Chordata; Actinopteri; Cypriniformes; Cyprinidae
Source: the annotation of a RefSeq genome assembly
UGACUGAAAGCAUGUUUAAAGGUGAAUUUAAACUCCCCUGUCUUCCCUGUCCCACUCCAACAUCUUUAAGGAAAUGUAUAGGCCUUAAAAUACCACAUCCAAGCACCAGUCCUCCAAAACCACUGUAAACAGACAUAUAACUGCUACCAAAAACACCAAUCAUAAAAACAUCUAACAUUUACUGCACCCACACCAAUGACAGUAACAGCCUGAUUUCUAUAGUAUGCCAGAAUUAGUAAUAACUGGGUCAAAAUGUGAAGCAUUGCUGUGAAGUAACAAAAGAGAAGGUUAUUUUAUGUAAUAUCUGUAUAGAUGUGUAAGUUUAUUUGAUGAGUUAAUGCAAUUUGAAAUGUGUUACUGUAAACAUACUGUACAAUAACAUGUUGAAAAACCUCUACUGCCCUAAAAACAAAAUAAAUGUGUAUUAUUUAUUAUAUCAAUCAGAAUUCAAUAAUAAAAAAAAGAUUCUCAGUUCCAGUGUUGCCAGAGUUACCUUGUUUUGCAGAAUAUAUGCAAAUGUCAUGAUUUAGUAGGGAGGGUCGAUGUUACUUAAACUUUUAAAAGACUUGUGCUAUAAAACAAAACUCUCAGACAGUGUUUGUGUGCAGCUAAAUAUUUUACUCUUUAGUUCACAGUUGCGGUGUGAUGAUGGAGGUGUUACUGCGUUUAGUUCUGCUGUUGAUCAUUUCAUCUGUUAGUGGUCAGUCUUUGACCUCCUCAGAUUCUGUGGUGAAAAAGCCUGGAGACUCAGUGACUCUGUCCUGCACUGUGUCUGGAUUCUCAAUGAGCAGCUACUACAUGCAUUGGAUCCGUCAGAAACCAGGGAAAGCACUGGAGUGGAUUGGAUUUAUAGACGGUGGCUCAAGUGCAUAUUAUGCUCAGUCUCUACAGGGCCAGUUCUCCAUCACCAAAGACACCAGCAAAAACAUGCUGUAUUUAGAGGUGAAAAGCCUGAAGACUGAAGACACAGCUGUUUAUUACUGUGCUAGAGACUCACAGUUACACAAAAGACUGCAGGACUGAACAAAAACUAUUGAUGCAUCACAUCACAAAAGCAGUUCUACUGCAAACAUCCCCAAAAUAUAAAAUAUAACUUGUUUUAGAUGUUAUUCAACACACUUAAGCAGUUCUUUGGUAGCCUUUUAAAAUAAUGGUCCAUCAGGUAACUAUGUAGGAGGAAAUGCAGGACAAAUGAGUAGUAGUACAGAAACACUUCAGCUACUAUUAACUACUCUGGAAACAAGAAUACUGUAAUGAAUCAUUAAGCAAUAACAAAUUUAUGCUUUAGACUGAGUUAAUUUAUUAUUAGAUAUGCAAUAAUUACUGAAUGAGAUUCAUAACUACGACAAAUUAUAAAGAAUUACCAGUUAAUUACUAAC